GCAGUCGUGGUGGAAUGGCAGACACGCUACUUUGAGGGGGUAGUGAGAGUAAUCUCGUGCGGGUUCAAGUCCCGCCGGCUGCACCA
RNAcentral lists this transfer RNA (86 nucleotides) under Eubacterium sp. RNAcentral describes it as "tRNA-Leu". It matches the Rfam family "tRNA". Rfam says of the family: Transfer RNA (tRNA) molecules are approximately 80 nucleotides in length. Their secondary structure includes four short double-helical elements and three loops (D, anti-codon, and T loops). The record is from RNAcentral. Lineage: Bacteria; Bacillati; Bacillota; Clostridia; Eubacteriales; Eubacteriaceae. RNAcentral also lists the same sequence under 8 other names.